Small nucleolar RNA from Trichosurus vulpecula (common brushtail), 67 nucleotides. RefSeq annotates it as small nucleolar RNA U54. Lineage: Eukaryota; Metazoa; Chordata; Mammalia; Diprotodontia; Phalangeridae. The record is from RefSeq and is a predicted model, not a curated record. The transcript has a single exon.
UGGCAAUGAUGACGAACUUUAGUGAUUGAAUUUCGGUGAUUGUUUUGUACGCUAUUCUGAGCCAAUU